RNAcentral lists this ribosomal RNA (392 nucleotides) under uncultured bacterium. RNAcentral describes it as "bacterial SSU rRNA". It matches the Rfam family "Bacterial small subunit ribosomal RNA", at positions 29 to 422 of the family's 1533-position model. The record is from RNAcentral.
AUUGAACGCUGGCGGCGUGCCUAACACAUGCAAGUCGAGCGGUAACAGGUGUAGCAAUACAUGCUGACGAGCGGCGAACGGGUGAGUAAUGCUUCGGAAUCUACCCAAUGGUGGGGAAUAACCAGCCGAAAGGUUGGCUAAUACCGCAUACGUCCUACGGGAGAAAGCAGGGGAUCGUAAGACCUUGCGCCAAUGGAUGAGCCGAAGUCGGAUUAGCUAGNGGUAGGGUAACGGCCUACCAAGGCGACGAUCCGUAGCUGGUCUGAGAGGACGACCAGCCACACUGGGACUGAGACACGGCCCAGACUCCUACGGGAGGCAGCAGUGGGAAUAUUGGACAAUGGGGGAAACCCUGAUCCAGCGACGCCGCGUGUGUGAAGAAGGCCUGCGGG